Molecule: small RNA, 107 nt
Filed under: Marmota monax (woodchuck)
Lineage: Eukaryota; Metazoa; Chordata; Mammalia; Rodentia; Sciuridae
Source: RNAcentral
GCAGGGCGUGGUAGCCCAUGCCUGUAAUCCCACCCACCCAGGAGGCUGAGGCAGGAGGAUUGCAAGUUUGAGGCCAACCCAGGCAAUUUAGUAAGACCCUGUCUCAA